RNAcentral lists this unclassified non-coding RNA (436 nucleotides) under Hevea brasiliensis (rubber tree). Lineage: Eukaryota; Viridiplantae; Streptophyta; Magnoliopsida; Malpighiales; Euphorbiaceae. The record is from RNAcentral.
AAAAAGCGAAAAAUAUUUUCAUGGAAAAUGUAACUCAUUGGAUGAAGAAAAGGAGUGUGACAGGUGUACAAUGCGAUCUUGGAAUCGCGACAAAGUUAAAGGUAAGUCCUAUAUAACUGUGGUUAGGCCAACUACAUUGUAUGUGAGUGAAUGUUGGGCAUCUAAUGUAUGUCGUACCCUGUAAGAUGAGGUAAGUGUGGUAGAAAUGCACAUGAUGUCAUUUAUGUUUGGUAUUGCAAUAAUGGAUAAGCUUAGGAAUGACAACAUUAGUUUGGGCAUGCAUAUAGUACAUAUUGGGGAUAAAAUGAGAUGGUCUAUUAAGAUGGUUUGUUCAUAUUCUACAUAGAGCAUUGAAUGCCUCACUAGUUAAGUACGAUAAAUUAGUUAUAUAGGAGUAAGAAUAAAAAAGGUGGAAACCUAAAAUGACGGGGAGGAU